CCUACGGGAGGCAGCAGUGAGGAAUAUUGGUCAAUGGGCGAGAGCCUGAACCAGCCAAGUCGCGUGAAGGAUGAAGGCUUUCGGGUUGUAAACUUCUUUUCUCAGGGACGAAGCAAGUGACGGUACCUGAGGAAUAAGCCGCGGCUAACUACGUGCCAGCAGCCGCGGUAAUACGUAGGUGGCAAGCGUUAUCCGGAUUUACUGGGUGUAAAGGGCGUGUAGGCGGGAAAGCAAGUCAGAUGUGAAAACCACGGGCUCAACCUGUGGCCUGCAUUUGACACUGUUUUUCUUGAGUACUGGAGAGG
Molecule: ribosomal RNA, 305 nt
Filed under: uncultured bacterium
Lineage: Bacteria
Description: bacterial SSU rRNA
Rfam family: Bacterial small subunit ribosomal RNA
Source: RNAcentral